UCUUCCGAUUUGUUAGAUUGGCGCACUGGUAAACGGUCGGCCCACUUGCUUAUUGAGUUAGAGUAGCGCUCGAAAUUUGUUUGCCGAUCUCCUUGAUGAUGACCGUAGCCUGAGUUUUCGCGAUAACGCGUAGAGUCAAGUUGAUCCCUGUAAAGUCUCGCGUAGAGUCACGGUUUCGAGUGGGGGACAAUUUCGGUUCGAAAUUGAGUGUGGCCAAAUUCCGCUGCACGGGGUCUCGUCGAGUCUGCGUAUGUAAAAAGGAUCACCUCUCGUGUGGGUCGCGUAUCACUGUGCGUAGAUGCUCGGUUUAGCGGGACGGGUUGCGAACUUUUUGGAAAUAGUGACUACGACUGGAGCUCGGAUGCGUCACAAUACGCUACACGCAAGCACGAAAAGGAAAGCUUCCUAGAUUUAUUAAUUUGGUCGCGAUUAGCGCGUCGAGUCACGUCCUUUUGGUUUAAUUUAUGAAUUAUUGUGUAUCAGUAAGGUGGCGACUAGCGCACGUAGGAGUAAGACAUCACCUAGAUUUAAUAACGAUCGCGGUUAGCGCGUCGAUUAUGAUCUCGAUUACGUUUUUGUCUAGCGGUUUAUGGUUAAGUGACGAUUAGCGUCGUAGUUAGUAGAGGACGAUCGCGGGCAGCGCAUCGAGUCAAAAUUUUGUUUUAGGUUUUUGUGAGUUAGAGUAUUAUUAAGACAGUGACUAGCGCACGUAAGCUGUA
RNAcentral lists this long non-coding RNA (719 nucleotides) under Neodiprion pinetum (white pine sawfly). RNAcentral's name for it is "uncharacterized LOC124218814". Lineage: Eukaryota; Metazoa; Arthropoda; Insecta; Hymenoptera; Diprionidae. The record is from RNAcentral.